RNAcentral lists this ribosomal RNA (317 nucleotides) under Staphylococcus aureus. Its description in RNAcentral is "partial 23S ribosomal RNA". It matches the Rfam family "Bacterial large subunit ribosomal RNA", at positions 2586 to 2904 of the family's 2925-position model. Lineage: Bacteria; Bacillati; Bacillota; Bacilli; Caryophanales; Staphylococcaceae. The record is from RNAcentral.
CAUUAAAGCGGUACGCGAGCUGGGUUCAGAACGUCGUGAGACAGUUCGGUCCCUAUCCGUCGUGGGCGUAGGAAAUUUGAGAGGAGCUGUCCUUAGUACGAGAGGACCGGGAUGGACAUACCUCUGGUGUACCAGUUGUCGUGCCAACGGCAUAGCUGGGUAGCUAUGUGUGGACGGGAUAAGUGCUGAAAGCAUCUAAGCAUGAAGCCCCCCUCAAGAUGAGAUUUCCCAACUUCGGUUAUAAGAUCCCUCAAAGAUGAUGAGGUUAAUAGGUUCGAGGUGGAAGCAUGGUGACAUGUGGAGCUGACGAAUACUAA